This 124-nucleotide ribosomal RNA is filed under the name Chrysemys picta bellii (western painted turtle). The record is from RNAcentral. Lineage: Eukaryota; Metazoa; Chordata; Testudines; Emydidae.
UAUUGUGGCAUGCAUCCAGACCACCUCAGUCUAGGACGACUUUGAUUUUAGAAGCUAAGCCAUGAUGGAGCCUAGUCACUAUUUGGAUGGGAGACCUCAAAGGAAAAUCCAGGUGUUGCAGAAA